Molecule: unclassified non-coding RNA, 404 nt
Organism: Mesocricetus auratus (golden hamster)
Lineage: Eukaryota; Metazoa; Chordata; Mammalia; Rodentia; Cricetidae
Product: predicted gene, 27970
Source: Ensembl
UCCCUUUGACCCAUUAUGGCAGACUUUAAAACAAGCAUGUUUUCAAAUGGUACUGUGAGUUGCCAAUGAUGUAUCACCCCCAUAUCUCAUUAUUCUCCACUAAAUGUGAUACUAAUGUGAUCUGUUAACAUAAAAAGUUUGGCUCCACAAAAGCAGCUGGAAGUGGACAACCACAACAUGCAUAAAUGUGACUCUUACCAUCAGCUACACACUGCUCGACACAUAUUGUUAAAAGCACCUCGCAUUGGUGGGCUCUUGUAAGCAAAACACUUGCAUUAGGUCUCAGCUGGGGCUGAGCAUCAGGCAGCCUGGGAAAUAUUCAAUUCCCAGCAGAGGCCAGAAUUGAAUCCUCAGUCUUUUAGGAAUCAUUUGCAAGGCCUGAGAGGACUGAGGCGGCUCAGGUG